This 343-nucleotide long non-coding RNA is filed under the name Elaeis guineensis (African oil palm). RNAcentral's name for it is "long non-coding RNA (EGUI_LNC048214)". Lineage: Eukaryota; Viridiplantae; Streptophyta; Magnoliopsida; Arecales; Arecaceae. The record is from RNAcentral.
AGGGAACAGGGCCGGCGGUCAAUUCCGAUCGCCGGCGCCGGAGAUUUCAAGGAAAAUAAGCCAAAAAACAGAGUCUGUUCCCGACCAAAAAUCGGCGACGCUCGUCGCCGGCCACCGCACACAAAUGCACGGGGGAAAGAGGAAGGAAGGGAGGAAAAAGUGAAGGACUUACCACGACCUCCUGGGACCUCGUCGGAGAGAAAACACGAUGAGGAACCAAUUGCGCCUGCGGCUCUUCUUCGGGAAAAUCGGAGAGAAAGAGGGGAAGAAAAGACCGAUGAAUCGAUUCUAAAGAGAGGGGGUCUUCUUAUAGGAAUUCCUAGGACUCCGAGGGGUCUUAGGA